GCUUAGCCCUAAACCUCAGUAGUUAAACCAACAAAACUACUCGCCAGAAUACUACAAGCAACCGCUUGAAACUCAAAGGACUUGGCGGUGCUUCACACCCCCCUAGAGGAGCCUGUCCCAUAAUCGAUAAACCCCGAUCCACCCCACCCUCUCUUGCUCAGCCUAUAUACCGCCAUCUUCAGCGAACCCUGAUAAAGGUUAACAAAGUGAGCGCAAGUGCCCCUUCCGCAAAAACGUUAGGUCAAGGUGUAGCUUAUGAGAUGGAAAAAGAUGGGCUACAUUUUCUAUCCUAGAAAACCCACGAUAACUCUCAUGAAACCUAAGAGUCUAAGGAGGAUUUAGCAGUAAAUUAAGAAUAGAGUGCUUAAUUGAACGAGGCCAUAAAGCACGC
Molecule: ribosomal RNA, 391 nt
Filed under: Chlorocebus tantalus (tantalus monkey)
Lineage: Eukaryota; Metazoa; Chordata; Mammalia; Primates; Cercopithecidae
Description: 12S ribosomal RNA
Rfam family: Bacterial small subunit ribosomal RNA
Source: RNAcentral